This 665-nucleotide ribosomal RNA is filed under the name uncultured Bacilli bacterium. RNAcentral's name for it is "bacterial SSU rRNA". It matches the Rfam family "Bacterial small subunit ribosomal RNA", at positions 57 to 705 of the family's 1533-position model. The record is from RNAcentral. Lineage: Bacteria; Bacillati; Bacillota; Bacilli.
GCAAGUAGAACGCUGAAGAGAGGAGCUUGCUCUUCUUGGAAGAGUUGCGAACGGGUGAGUAACGCGUAGGUAACCUGCCUUGUAGCGGGGGAUAACUAUUGGAAACGAUAGCUAAUACCGCAUAACAAUGGGUGACCCAUGUCAUUCAUUUGAAAGGGGCAACUGCUCCACUACAAGAUGGACCUGCGUUGUAUUAGCUAGUAGGUGAGGUAACGGCUCACCUAGGCGACGAUACAUAGCCGACCUGAGAGGGUGAUCGGCCACACUGGGACUGAGACACGGCCCAGACUCCUACGGGAGGCAGCAGUAGGGAAUCUUCGGCAAUGGGGGCAACCCUGACCGAGCAACGCCGCGUGAGUGAAGAAGGUUUUCGGAUCGUAAAGCUCUGUUGUAAGUCAAGAACGAGUGUGAGAGUGGAAAGUUCACACUGUGACGGUAGCUUACCAGAAAGGGACGGCUAACUACGUGCCAGCAGCCGCGGUAAUACGUAGGUCCCGAGCGUUGUCCGGAUUUAUUGGGCGUAAAGCGAGCGCAGGCGGUUUGAUAAGUCUGAAGUUAAAGGCUGUGGCUCAACCAUAGUUCGCUUUGGAAACUGUCAAACUUGAGUGCAGAAGGGGAGAGUGGAAUUCCAUGUGUAGCGGUGAAAUGCGUAGAUAUAUGGAGGA